GCCGAAGUGGCGGAAUUGGCAGACGCGCGUGGUUCAGGACCACGUGGGCAUUAGCCCGUGGAGGUUCGAGUCCUCUCUUCGGCA
This 84-nucleotide transfer RNA is filed under the name Planctomycetota bacterium. Its description in RNAcentral is "Planctomycetes bacterium tRNA-Leu". It matches the Rfam family "tRNA". Rfam says of the family: Transfer RNA (tRNA) molecules are approximately 80 nucleotides in length. Their secondary structure includes four short double-helical elements and three loops (D, anti-codon, and T loops). Lineage: Bacteria; Pseudomonadati; Planctomycetota. The record is from RNAcentral.